AACUUACCCAACCUAACCUAACUUACCCAACCUAACCUAACUUACCCAACGUAACCUAACUUACCCAGCCAACCUAACUUACCCAGCCAACCUAACUAACCCAACCAACCAUAUCAACCUAACUAACCCAACCAACCAUAUCAACCUAACUAACCCAACCAACCAUAUCAACCUAACUUACCCAACCUAACCUAACUUACCCAACCUAACCUAACUUACCCAACCUAACUAACCCAAUCAACCUAACUUACCCAACCAACCUAACUUACCCAACCAACCUAACUUACCCAACCUAACCUAACUUACCCAACCAACCUAACCAACCUAAUCAACCUAACUAACCCAACCAACCUAACCAACCCAAAAAACCCAACCAACUCAAAUAACCCAUGCAGCAAAAACCUAUUGUUGUAAUUGUGUCAUUCAAAAUCUGCUGUCUGUCUGCUGAGGAAGGGCAGGGUGUAGCAUCUUCCUGUUUACACCCAAACUGACUGUCUGUCAGAAGGCUGGAUGGACAUCUAGAUCAAUCAAACCUAUAUCCAAGACGAGUGAGUUCAACUGAAAGAAACCUCUCAGGGAGACACUCUGAUACAGAGACAGACCCCUGGCUCAAAGAAGACAGACCCCUGGCUCAAAGAAGACAGACCCCUGGCUCAAAGAAUACAGACAGACCCCUGGCUCAAAGAAGACAGACCCCUGGCUCAAAGAAUACAGACAGACCCCUGGCUCAAAGAAUACAGACAGACCCCUGGCUCAUAGAAUACAGCCCGACGGACCCCUCGCUCAAAGAAUACAGACAGACGGAUCCCUGGCUCAAUGACAGACGCAGACCCCUGGCUCAAAGAAUACAGACCGACGGACCCCUGGCUCAAAGAAUACAGACCGACGGACCCCUGGCUCAAAGAAUACAGACCGACGGACCCCUGGCUCAAAGAAUACAGACAGACGGACCCCUGGCUCAAGAAUACAGACAGACGGACCCCUGGCUCAACGACAGACGCAGACCCCUGGCUCAAAGAAUACAGACAGACGGACCCCUGGCUCAACGACAGACACAGACACAUUGUUCAAACAGAGUGAGGCCUUCUAUGGGCCACCUACUCUCUGGGGAAAGUUGAAGUAGAAAAGCAUAAAUGGAUACCUUACAUUUGUCCAGCCGGGUUCAAUUUAGGAUGAUUUUGGUUCUAAAUAUUCAUGUUGAUAUUUUUGUUUUAAUCAAAAAUGGGACUGAUAUGGGUACACUUUGUGGAUUAUUCCAUAGGAUAUGUCACGCUGCUUGUCUGACCAAAAAGAUGUGGAAAGGGAAACUUUGAGAAUGUGUGAGUUGAAGCGAUGGGGAAAUGCAUUGUGGGAGUUGUCAGCUGGAUUCUGAUAUUCCUCUCAGAUUUUAUUUGUUCAGAUGAUAUAAGACGUGUGACCUUUUUGUCCUCAACAUUAAUAAUAAUUUAAUAAUAAACUCUUAAUAAUUUAUUUAUUUAAAAUAUAAUAAUAAACUCUUAAUAAUGUAUUAGAGUUUAAAUACCGUAAUCAUGGUAACAAGUUGUUUUUCUCUUUUUCCACACAUACUGUCAAUACCAAUGUAUAUGUACAGUCAACUGGUGCAUGCUGGAAUUAAUUGUAUGUACCGCGUAUCAGAUCAAUAUGGAACUUGGAGUUUGUUUGGAUGAGGUGCCACUGAGACAAUGUUAUUGGAUGAGUUUGUCCCCUCUGAGCUCGACCAAUGGCUACUAUAACACUCACCUUGGUCCAUGAUCUUGGUGUAAGGAACUUCUUCUGAACCGGAUGAAAUAUCAUUUAUUACCAGUUAUGUACUGGAGCAAGUCUUCAAUGUUUAUCUACAUACACUGAGUGUACCAAACAUUAGGAACACCUUUCCUAAUAUUUUGUUUCAUCCUCUUUUGCCCUUAGAACAGCCUCAAUUUUGUCGGAGGCAUGGAGUCAACAAUGUGUCUAAAGCGUUCCACAGGGAUGCCCAUGUUGAUGCCAGUGACUCCAUCCGGUGUGCCUGGCACCUACUACCGUACCCCGUUCAAAGGCACUGAAAUAUUUUGUCUUGCCCCAUUCACCCUCUGAAUGGCACAGAUACACAAUCUAUCUCUCAAGACUUAACAAUCCUUCUUUAACCGGUUUCCUCCCUUUUCAUCUACAGUGGAUUUAACAAGUGACACGAAUAAGGAAUCAUAGCUUUCACCUGGUCAGCAUGUCAUGGAACGAGCAGGUGUUCCUAAUGUUUUGUACACUCUGUGUAUUUUUAUUAUAUUUAAGGAGAUAUAUAAUUUAUUUGGUAAAAGAGGUAUAAUUUAUUUGGUAAAAGAGGUAUAAUUUAUUUGGUAAAAGAGGUAUAAUUUAUUUGGUAAAAGAGGUAUAAUUUAUUUGGUAAAAGAGGUAUUCAUGAUGUAUCUUUUUAGUAGAUUUAUGAGGAAAAGUUUUCAUGAUACAAGUAACGUAUAUUAUGCCUGCCUUUUCUCUGAGCAGUUUAGUUUAAUGUGCACAGACACACAUUAAAGAUGUAUUUCUUGUAAUUACUUAAGAUUAUUACUUAUGGAAAGUUGUGUCAUACUACAUUAGCAUUUUACUGACUGAAUUACUUUUUAAAAAACAAAGUAGAUUUGACAAAUGUUUUUGUGUGAGGACACUUAAGAAAUAUUAGCAUUGUCCUCAUCCAAAAUGAAAAGUUUACUUUUCAAAAAAACUUUUGAUUUAUUGAUUUAAUGUGUACUUUUUUUUAUUGUACUUUUAUUUUCUAUGGUGAAAACAAAGAAGCAUAUUUUUAAUCGUCUGUGAAAUUAAAGAGGAUACCCCAGUCA
Molecule: long non-coding RNA, 2807 nt
Organism: Oncorhynchus tshawytscha (Chinook salmon)
Lineage: Eukaryota; Metazoa; Chordata; Actinopteri; Salmoniformes; Salmonidae
Source: Ensembl